Molecule: ribosomal RNA, 449 nt
Filed under: uncultured bacterium
Lineage: Bacteria
Description: partial 16S ribosomal RNA
Rfam family: Bacterial small subunit ribosomal RNA
Source: RNAcentral
AACGAACGCUGGCGGCAUGCCUAACACAUGCAAGUCGAACGAGAUCUUCGGGUCUAGUGGCGCACGGGUGCGUAACGCGUGGGAAUCUGCCCUUUGGUUCGGAAUAACAGUUGGAAACGACUGCUAAUACCGGAUGAUGACGAAAGUCCAAAGAUUUAUCGCCAGGGGAUGAGCCCGCGUAGGAUUAGCUAGUUGGUGUGGUAAAGGCGCACCAAGGCGACGAUCCUUAGCUGGUCUGAGAGGAUGAUCAGCCACACUGGGACUGAGACACGGCCCAGACUCCUACGGGAGGCAGCAGUGGGGAAUAUUGGACAAUGGGCGAAAGCCUGAUCCAGCAAUGCCGCGUGAGUGAUGAAGGCCUUAGGGUUGGAAAGCUCUUUUACCCGGGAUGAUAAUGACAGUACCGGGAGAAUAAGCUCCGGCUAACUCCGUGCCAGCCGCCGCAGUAA